RNAcentral lists this ribosomal RNA (393 nucleotides) under uncultured bacterium. Its description in RNAcentral is "partial 16S ribosomal RNA". It matches the Rfam family "Bacterial small subunit ribosomal RNA", at positions 523 to 918 of the family's 1533-position model. The record is from RNAcentral.
AUACGGAGGAUGCAAGCGUUAUCCGGAUUUAUUGGGUUUAAAGGGUGCGUAGGCUGUUGUGUAAGUCAGGGGUGAAAUGCCGUCGCUCAACGACGGAGCUGCCUUUGAUACUGCAUGGCUGGAGUGCGGAUGCCGUUGGAGGAAUGAGUGGUGUAGCGGUGAAAUGCUUAGAUAUCACUCAGAACACCGAUUGCGAAGGCAUCUGAGCAUUCCGAGACGCAGGGGGAGGAAAGAAAGCGUGGGAAAAAAGCAGAAUUAGAUUCCCUGUUAUUCCCCGCCGUAAACGAUGAUGACUAUCCGCCUGCGAUACAGUGUAGGUGGCCAAGCGAAAGCGAUAAGUCAUCCACCUGGGGAGUACGACCGCAAGGUUGAAACUCAAAGGAAUUGGCGGGG